CCUACGGGAGGCAGCAGUGGGGAAUAUUGGACAAUGGGCGCAAGCCUGAUCCAGCCAUGCCGCGUGAGUGAAGAAGGCCCUAGGGUUGUAAAACUCUUUCAGCAGGGAAGAUGAUGACGGUACCUGCAGAAGAAGCCCCGGCCAACUCCGUGCCAGCAGCCGCGGUAAUACGGAGGGGGCAAGCGUUGUUCGGAAUUACUGGGCGUAAAGCGCGCGUAGGCGGUUAGCAUAGUCAGGCGUGAAAUCCCGGGGCUCAACCUCGGAACUGCGCUUGAUACUGGCUAACUAGAGGUCUGGAGAGGGUAGUGGAAUUCCCAGUGUAGAGGUGAAAUUCGUAGAUAUUGGGAAGAACACCAGCGGCGAAGGCGGCUACCUGGACAGAUACUGACGCUGAGGUGCGAAAGCGUGGGGAGCAAACAGGAUUAGAUACCCUUGUAGUC
RNAcentral lists this ribosomal RNA (440 nucleotides) under uncultured bacterium. Its description in RNAcentral is "bacterial SSU rRNA". It matches the Rfam family "Bacterial small subunit ribosomal RNA", at positions 338 to 795 of the family's 1533-position model. The record is from RNAcentral.